Molecule: ribosomal RNA, 253 nt
Filed under: uncultured prokaryote
Description: partial 16S ribosomal RNA
Rfam family: Bacterial small subunit ribosomal RNA
Source: RNAcentral
UACGUAGGUGGCAAGCGUUGUCCGGAUUUAUUGGGCGUAAAGGGCGCGUAGGCGGCCACGCGUGUCUUUCGUGAAAUCCCUCGGCUUAACUGAGGACGUGCGGAAGAAACUGCGAGGCUUGAGUCCGGGAGAGGGGGGUGGAAUUCCCAGUGUAGCGGUGAAAUGCGUAGAUAUUGGGAAGAACACCGGUGGCGUAGGCGACUAGCUGGGCUGUAACUGACGCUGAGGAACGAAAGCCAGGGGAGCGAAUGGG